GGGACAACAGUUGGAAACGACUGCUAAUACCGCAUAAGCCCACAGGUCGGCAUCGACCAGAGGGAAAAGGAGCAAUCCGCUUUGAGAUGGCCUCGCGUCCGAUUAGCUAGUUGGUGAGGUAAUGGCCCACCAAGGCGACGAUCGGUAGCCGGACUGAGAGGUUGAACGGCCACAUUGGGACUGAGACACGGCCCAGACUCCUACGGGAGGCAGCAGUGGGGAAUAUUGCACAAUGGGGGAAACCCUGAUGCAGCGACGCCGCGUGGAGGAAGAAGGUCUUCGGAUUGUAAACUCCUGUUGUUGAGGAAGAUAAUGACGGUACUCAACAAGGAAGUGACGGCUAACUACGUGCCAGCAGCCGCGGUAAAACGUAGGUCACAAGCGUUGUCCGGAAUUACUGGGUGUAAAGGGAGCGCAGGCGGGAAGACAAGUUGGAAGUGAAAUCUAUGGGCUCAACCCAUAAACUGCUUUCAAAACUGUUUUUCUUGAGUAGUGCAGAGGUAGGCGGAAUUCCCGGUGUAGCGGUGGAAUGCGUAGAUAUCGGGAGGAACACCAGUGGCGAAGGCGGCCUACUGGGCACCAACUGACGCUGAGGCUCGAAAGUGUGGGUAGCAAACAGGAUUAGAUACCCUGGUAGUCCACACCGUAAAC
RNAcentral lists this ribosomal RNA (651 nucleotides) under uncultured bacterium. Its description in RNAcentral is "bacterial SSU rRNA". It matches the Rfam family "Bacterial small subunit ribosomal RNA", at positions 140 to 807 of the family's 1533-position model. The record is from RNAcentral.